RNAcentral lists this ribosomal RNA (218 nucleotides) under Bathylagus euryops (goiter blacksmelt). Its description in RNAcentral is "partial 28S ribosomal RNA". Lineage: Eukaryota; Metazoa; Chordata; Actinopteri; Argentiniformes; Bathylagidae. The record is from RNAcentral.
CAGAAUCCCCCCUANACGUAACGAUACCGUAGCGCCGUGGAGCUUCGGUUGGCCCCGGAUAGCCGGCCCCUCGGGGCCGGUGAGUAGAGCCGCUCGUGACAGGGCUGGGGUGCGGCAAGAUGGAAUGCCGCCCUCGCCUGAUGCGCACCGCAAGUCUGUGGAGAACCUGGUGCUAAAUAACUUGUAGACGACCUGAUUCUGGGUCAGGGUUUCGAGCG